CAGUAACACGUGGAUAACCUACCCUCAGGUGGGGGAUAACCCCGGGAAACUGGGGAUAAUACCCCAUAGACCAGGGACGCUGGAAUGCCCCCUGGUCGAAAGGUCCGCCGCCUGAGGAUGGGUCUGCGGCCGAUUAGGUUGUUGUUGGGGUAACGGCCCAACAAGCCUUUGAUCGGUACGGGUUGUGAGAGCAAGAGCCCGGAGAUGGAUUCUGAGACACAAAUCCAGGCCCUACGGGGCGCAGCAGGCGCGAAAACUUUACAAUGCGAGAAAUCGUGAUAAGGGAACCCCGAGUGCCCGUAAAUUCUGGCUGUCCAUCAGCGUAAAAAACUGGUGAAGAAAGGGCCGGGCAAGACCGGUGCCAGCCGCCGCGGUAAUACCGGCGGGUCGAGUGGUGGCCACUAUUACUGGGCUUAAAUCGUCCGUAGCUGGAUUCGAAUUCUCUUGGGAAAUCCGCCGGCUUAUCCGGCGGCUGUUCACGAGAAACUGUUAAUCUACCU
This 500-nucleotide ribosomal RNA is filed under the name uncultured Methanolinea sp. RNAcentral's name for it is "bacterial SSU rRNA". It matches the Rfam family "Archaeal small subunit ribosomal RNA", at positions 91 to 597 of the family's 1478-position model. The record is from RNAcentral. Lineage: Archaea; Methanobacteriati; Methanobacteriota; Methanomicrobia; Methanomicrobiales; Methanoregulaceae.